RNAcentral lists this ribosomal RNA (429 nucleotides) under uncultured bacterium. RNAcentral's name for it is "bacterial SSU rRNA". It matches the Rfam family "Bacterial small subunit ribosomal RNA", at positions 355 to 775 of the family's 1533-position model. The record is from RNAcentral.
UGGGGAAUUUUGCGCAAUGGGCGAAAGCCUGACGCAGCAACGCCGCGUGAGUGAUGAAGGCCCUCGGGUCGUAAAGCUCUGUCAGAGGGGAAGAAACUUUUGAGGGAGAAUAUCCCUUGAAACUGACGGUACCCCCAAAGGAAGCACCGGCUAACUCCGUGCCAGCAGCCGCGGUAAUACGGAGGGUGCAAGCGUUGUUCGGAAUUAUUGGGCGUAAAGCGCGUGUAGGCGGCUAUUUAAGUCUGAUGUGAAAGCCCGGGGCUCAACCCCGGUAGUGCAUUGGAAACUGGAUAGCUUGAGUACGGGAGAGGGUAGUGGAAUUUCGAGUGUAGGGGUGAAAUCCGUAGAUAUUCGAAGGAACACCGGUGGCGAAGGCGGCUACCUGGACCGAUACUGACGCUGAGACGCGAAAGCGUGGGGAGCAAACAG